GGGAAAUCUUCAGAGCGGCAAUCAAUAUUUAACCUCCCAGACCUUUGGCAUCAUUUCUUGGUGAAGUUAUAAUCAUACCCUGUAGAAUCCUGCUUCACGUGUAGAAAUCAUAAGGAAGCCUCAGUCUGACGGCAUGUUGGCACCUGCACAAACCGCAUGUAUCCGCCUUGUGUCCUGACCUUCCCUGGGACAGAAACGGCAAGAUGCUUCAUUCUAUCAUGU
This is a long non-coding RNA of Nanorana parkeri, 222 nucleotides long. RefSeq lists it as uncharacterized. NCBI's taxonomy places the organism in Eukaryota, Metazoa, Chordata, Amphibia, Anura, Dicroglossidae. The transcript has 3 exons. The record is from RefSeq and is a predicted model, not a curated record.